This 96-nucleotide transfer RNA is filed under the name Paraphoma chrysanthemicola. Its description in RNAcentral is "tRNA-Glu". Lineage: Eukaryota; Fungi; Ascomycota; Dothideomycetes; Pleosporales; Phaeosphaeriaceae. The record is from RNAcentral.
UCUAACGUUUCGCAGUGGCUAGGAUUUGCCGCUCUCAACGGAACACAACGCUCAUUGCGCGCCGGCAAGGCCGGGGUUCGAUUCCCCGUGUUGGAA